UAAGGAAUAUUGCGCAAUGGGCGACAGCCUGACGCAGCGACGCCGCGUGGGGGAUGAAGGUCUUCGGAUUGUAAACCCCUUUCGGCAGGGAAGAUGGAACGGGUAACCGUUCGGACGGUACCUGCAGAAGCAGCCACGGCUAACUUCGUGCCAGCAGCCGCGGUAAUACGAAGGUGGCAAGCGUUGUUCGGAUUUACUGGGCGUACAGGGAGCGUAGGCGGUUGGGUAAGCCCUCCGUGAAAUCUCCGGGGCCUAACCCGGAAAGUGCGGAGGGGACUGCUCGGCUAGAGGAUGGGAGAGGAGCGCGGAAUUCCCGGUGUAGCGGUGAAAUGCGUAGAGAUCGGGAGGAAGGCCGGUGGCGAAGGCGGCGCUCUGGAACAUUUCUGACGCUGAGGCUCGAAAGCGUGGGGAGCAAACAGGAUUAGAUACCCAAGUAGUCCCUGAGCGGGCUGGCAAGGCGCAU
This 463-nucleotide ribosomal RNA is filed under the name uncultured bacterium. RNAcentral's name for it is "bacterial SSU rRNA". It matches the Rfam family "Bacterial small subunit ribosomal RNA", at positions 355 to 825 of the family's 1533-position model. The record is from RNAcentral.